This 552-nucleotide long non-coding RNA is filed under the name Taeniopygia guttata (zebra finch). Its description in RNAcentral is "lncRNA (ENSTGUG00000020443.1)". The record is from RNAcentral. Lineage: Eukaryota; Metazoa; Chordata; Aves; Passeriformes; Estrildidae.
UCUGUGACACCUUUGUGACCCAAAGACAAUUGCUAACAAAUAUAUCUCUCCUUUGUCCAGAACAAGGUGCUGCCCUUAUAACUUCUGCAAAUGUGGUGCCACAGUAUCAGAUUCAGCUGCACAUUUUUGAAUUUCAAGUGGAUUCACAGAAAUAUGAGAGAGACUUCAAAGCCAGUAGCAAAUAGAGGCAAAUUGAAACCCUACUUCAGCAGACAAGGAUUACAGAAUCCACAGGCUCUGGAGGACUCGAAGCCUGACACUUUGGCAACAUUUCCAGCUGUUUGUGUCCACUUUACUUCAUUCCCCUGGGUGGCAGCGGAGCCAUUCAGAUGCUGGCUGGGCCCCAUGCCGUUCUUGCAGCGUGUGGGUGGUUCCCCCUUGGCAGAAGGCAAACCCUCUCCGGCACAGCCCCAGAUCCCAGGCGCAUUCCUCGGGAGCCGGCCGCUCCGAUUCCCUGAUUUACGAUGGAAAGAAAAAAAACCAAAUCCAAGAGUGGGAGGGGACAUGAAGAAAAGGGGUUGGGGCCCUGUGGAAUUACAUCUCUGUUUAUAG